CAGUAGCCGCGGGAAUACGGAGGGGGCUAGCGUUGUUCGGAAUUACUGGGCGUAAAGCGCACGUAGGCGGCUUGGUAAGUUAGAGGUGAAAGCCUGGAGCUCAACUCCAGAAUUGCCUUUAAGACUGCCGAGCUAGCAGGUGAGAGAGGUAAGUGGAAUUCCGAGUGUAGAGGUGAAAUUCGUAGAUAUUCGGAAGAACACCAGUGGUGAAGGCGGCUUACUGGCUCAUACUGAACGCUGAGGUGCGAAAGCGUGGGGAGCAAACAGGAUUAGAUACCCCCGUAGUCCCUGUCUCUUAUAC
This 301-nucleotide ribosomal RNA is filed under the name uncultured bacterium. RNAcentral's name for it is "partial 16S ribosomal RNA". It matches the Rfam family "Bacterial small subunit ribosomal RNA", at positions 509 to 807 of the family's 1533-position model. The record is from RNAcentral.